CAUGCAAGUCGAACGAAGUAGCAAUACUUAGUGGCAGACGGGUGAGUAACAUGUGGGUAUCUUCCCUAUGGUGAGGAAUAACACGAGGAAACUUGUGCUAAUACCUCAUAAGUCUUUACGGAGAAAGCUUUAUGCGCCAUUGGAUGAGCCCGCACUUGAUUAGUUUGUUGGUGGGGUAAUGGCCUACCAAGACUUUGAUCAAUAGCUGAUUUGAGAGGAUGAUCAGCCACAUUGGGACUGAGACACGGCCCAAACUCCUACGGGAGGCAGCAGUAGGGAAUCUUGCACAAUGGAGGAAACUCUGAUGCAGCGAUGCCGCGUGAGUGAAGAAGGCCCUUGGGUUGUAAAGCUCUUUCGUCGGGGAAGAAAAUGACUGUACCCGAAUAAGAAGGUCCGGCUAACUUCGUGCCAGCAGCCGCGGUAAUACGAAGGGACCUAGCGUAGUUCGGAAUUACUGGGCUUAAAGAGUUCGUAGGUGGUUAAAAAAGUUGGUGGUGAAAUCCCAGAGCUUAACUCUGGAACUGCCAUCAAAACUUUUAGCUAGAGUAUGAUAGAGGAAAGCAGAAUUUCUAGUGUAGAGGUGAAAUUCGUAGAUAUUAG
RNAcentral lists this ribosomal RNA (600 nucleotides) under uncultured Alphaproteobacteria bacterium. RNAcentral's name for it is "bacterial SSU rRNA". It matches the Rfam family "Bacterial small subunit ribosomal RNA", at positions 54 to 700 of the family's 1533-position model. The record is from RNAcentral. Lineage: Bacteria; Pseudomonadati; Pseudomonadota; Alphaproteobacteria.